AUUGAACGCUGGCGGCAUGCUUUACACAUGCAAGUCGAACGGUAACAGGCCGCAAGGUGCUGACGAGUGGCGAACGGGUGAGUAAUGCAUCGGAACGUUCCCAGUCGUGGGGGAUAACUACUCGAAAGAGUAGCUAAUACCGCAUACGAUCUAUGGAUGAAAGCGGGGGACCGUAAGGCCUCGCGCGAUUUGAGCGGCCGAUGUCAGAUUAGGUAGUUGGUGGGGUAAAGGCUCACCAAGCCAACGAUCUGUAGCUGGUCUGAGAGGACGACCAGCCACACUGGGACUGAGACACGGCCCAGACUCCUACGGGAGGCAGCAGUGGGGAAUUUUGGACAAUGGGCGCAAGCCUGAUCCAGCAAUGCCGCGUGCAGGAAGAAGGCCUUCGGGUUGUAAACUGCUUUUGUACGGAACGAAACGGCUCUGGUUAAUACCCGGGGCUAAUGACGGUACCGUAAGAAUAAGCACCGGCUAACUACGUG
Molecule: ribosomal RNA, 482 nt
Filed under: uncultured bacterium
Lineage: Bacteria
Description: partial 16S ribosomal RNA
Rfam family: Bacterial small subunit ribosomal RNA
Source: RNAcentral